GCCAUGCCGCGUGCAGGAUGAAGGCCUUCGGGUUGUAAACUGCUUUUGUACGGAACGAAAAGACUCCUUCUAAUAAAGGGGGUCCAUGACGGUACCGGAAGAAUAAGCACCGGCUAACUACGUGCCAGCAGCCGCGGUAAUACGUAGGGUGCGAGCGUUAAUCGGAAUUACUGGGCGUAAAGCGUGCGCAGGCGGUUAUGUAAGACAGAUGUGAAAUCCCCGGGCUCAACCUGGGAACUGCAUUUGUGACUGCAUAGCUAGAGUACGGUAGAGGGGGAUGGAAUUCCGCGUGUAGCAGUGAAAUGCGUAGAUAUGCGGAGGAACACCGAUGGCGAAGGCAAUCCCCUGGACCUGUACUGACGCUCAUGCACGAAAGCGUGGGGAGCAAACAGGAUUAGAUACCCUGGUAGUCCACGCCCUAAACGAUGUCAACUGGUUGUUGGGUCUUCACUGACUCAGUAACGAAGCUAACG
RNAcentral lists this ribosomal RNA (473 nucleotides) under Acidovorax sp. Its description in RNAcentral is "bacterial SSU rRNA". It matches the Rfam family "Bacterial small subunit ribosomal RNA", at positions 391 to 857 of the family's 1533-position model. The record is from RNAcentral. Lineage: Bacteria; Pseudomonadati; Pseudomonadota; Betaproteobacteria; Burkholderiales; Comamonadaceae.